This 253-nucleotide ribosomal RNA is filed under the name uncultured bacterium. RNAcentral describes it as "partial 16S ribosomal RNA". It matches the Rfam family "Bacterial small subunit ribosomal RNA", at positions 524 to 776 of the family's 1533-position model. The record is from RNAcentral.
UACGUAGGGGGCAAGCGUUGUCCGGAUUUAUUGGGCGUAAAGAGCGUGUAGGCGGUCAGGUAGGUCGGUUGUGAAAACUGGAGGCUCAACCUUCAGAGGUCGACCGAAACCCCCUGGCUAGAGUCCGGGAGAGGAGAGUGGAAUUCCUGGUGUAGCGGUGAAAUGCGCAGAUAUCAGGAAGAACACCCGUAGCGAAAGCGGCUCUCUGGAACGGUACUGACGCUGAGACGCGAAAGCGUGGGGAGCGAACAGG